UCCGGUGGCGAUGCGCUUAGGGGAAACACCCGUACCCAUCCCGAACACGAUGGUUAAGACCUAAGCGGCCGAUGGUACUAUGCUGGAGACGGCAUGGGAGAGCAGGUGGCUGCCGGAU
RNAcentral lists this ribosomal RNA (118 nucleotides) under Enterocloster clostridioformis. RNAcentral also lists the same sequence under 6 other names. Lineage: Bacteria; Bacillati; Bacillota; Clostridia; Lachnospirales; Lachnospiraceae. The record is from RNAcentral.